UGGGGAAUAUUGGACAAUGGGGGCAACCCUGAUCCAGCCAUGCCGCGUGAGUGAAGAAGGCCUUAGGGUUGUAAAGCUCUUUCAGCGGGGAAGAUGAUGACGGUACCCGCAGAAGAAGCCCCGGCUAACUCCGUGCCAGCAGCCGCGGUAAUACGGAGGAUGCAAGCGUUAUCCGGAAUGAUUGGGCGUAAAGCGUCCGCAGGUGGUAGUGCAAGUCUACUGUUAAAGAGUGAAGCUUAACUUCAUAAAGGCGGUGGAAACUGCAUAACUAGAGUACGUUCGGGGCAGAGGGAAUUCCUGGUGUAGCGGUGAAAUGCGUAGAUAUCAGGAAGAACACCGGUGGCGAAAGCGCUCUGCUAGGCCGUAACUGACACUGAGGGACGAAAGCUAAGGGAGCGAAUGGGAUUAGAUACCCCCGUAGUCC
Molecule: ribosomal RNA, 424 nt
Filed under: uncultured prokaryote
Description: bacterial SSU rRNA
Rfam family: Bacterial small subunit ribosomal RNA
Source: RNAcentral